GCUUCAAUUUCAAAGACCACUUGCAGAAGACAAAAGGCUUGCAGAGAGGCCCUGCCUUUCAUACACUUAUUCUGACAGUGUCUAUUCUAAUGCAGAGCAACAGAUCAGCAGAGCACACAGCCUCAUAAUAAAACAAGCUUCUUUGCUUCUAUGACAGUCUCAAACAAUGUCAAUACUACAACAAUGCUCCAGUUGAUGUGUAACCAUACAAAGGUAGUAGUUAUUACAAUAUAAAAAGAAGAGUUCAGAUUCUGUAAUUGCAAAUACACAAUCUGCAACUUUCCUAGCCAAACAAGGGGCCACAAAAUAGAGAAAAGAAGUAGGCAUUAGCUAAGCUAACGAGAACCUACCUAAGCCAAUAUGAAGGCCAGCAACAAAAUGUGCUGCUUUUGUCUCACGCCAGUCUUGAUACACUAUUAUUAUACCAGGUGUGGCCAAACUUUUUUGUAAUUUGCAUGUGGUUAUUUGUGAGCAUUUGGUGGGCCAGAAUGAAAUAGAAAGGCUUACUUACACUAUGGGCUGCAACAUGUUGCUUUUUGCUUUGAAAUAAAAAGGGAACACAUGACAGUUUCCCCGAACAAAACUACUUAGCAUGCAAGAGCCAAGCACGUUCCAACUCAUAUUUCCCCUGUAAUUAUUAUCAGUUUUAUUUCUUUUUCAUAAUGGCAUGCCUUGUGCAUUGUACAAAUGUAGCUUGCAAUAGGCUACUUCAUCUACUCUUUAGGAGGCAAGUUUCCGCUCCAAUCUUGUGCCCAAAGCAGGUGUAGCAGCUUACGCUUGAUUAGAGACCUUUCAUUGCAUUUGAUGCGCGUGAUGCCCAGAAAAACCAGUCUCUCUCAGAAAAAGAAAAAAAAGAAAGAAAGAAUAGUCGAGAAGCUCCUCGGUUAAAUUUUUAGACGUUCAGCACCUUUCUCUCAAAGGGGCUGAAGAGCAGCAGUUCAGUUGAGAGAACAAAAUAAAAGCCAGCUAAAACUAAAUCUAGUAUUACAAGCAGAUAAAUAUCUAGAGUGUUUUGACCAGUAUUUAUAUGUUUUAAGGUUGCCAUUCUAGCUUACUGCCAUGACAAACACAAGCAGAAGUCCCGGGAGUAGCAUGCAUGACUGAUUUUUCACACGAAAGUCCGGUGAAAAAUGCAGUCUAAUCAGUCUUGUAUAUUGCUUAUUCCAUAUUAUAACAGUGUAAAUAAAAAAACUAAGAGCAUGCAGCCAUAGAAAGCAAUAAGAGGCCUACACAGCUUCGCUGAGCACAGUGUCACAAGAUAUCACCGUACAAAUUUCAGUUCGCGGCUGCAGAGUAGUAUUCUGGCAAAAUGGCAAUGCUAGGAUGUACAUCCAGCAGAUAAAACUCGAUUAAAACUCAAAGCAAUUAAUUUAUGGUGCAACAAUUACGCAAUCUUUUUUUCUAUUUUCUGGAUAAGUCUGGGUGCCCCUGGGAGCCUGGACCUAGACUGCAAACGGGCUCUCACACUACUGCAUGACCACGCGAAGAUAUCAGCACAAAAAUGCGGUAGUUAUCGGG
RNAcentral lists this long non-coding RNA (1518 nucleotides) under Dermacentor andersoni. RNAcentral describes it as "uncharacterized LOC126541515". Lineage: Eukaryota; Metazoa; Arthropoda; Arachnida; Ixodida; Ixodidae. The record is from RNAcentral.